GAGUUUGAUCAUGGCUCAGAUUGAACGCUGGCGGCAGGCUUAACACAUGCAAGUCGAACGGUAAAGUAGCUUGCUACUUACGAGUGGCGGACGGGUGAGUAACGUAUGGGAAUUUACCGAAUGGAGGGGGACAACAGUUGGAAACGGCUGCUAAUACCGCAUAACGUCGAGAGACCAAAGGGUUUCGACUUGCCAUUUGAUGAGCCCAUAUGAGAUUAGCUAGUUGGUGUGGUAAUGGCUCACCAAGGCGACGAUCUCUAGCUGGUUUGAGAGGAUGACCAGCCACACUGGGACUGAGACACGGCCCAGACUCCUACGGGAGGCAGCAGUGGGGAAUAUUGCACAAUGGGGGGAACCCUGAUGCAGCCAUGCCGCGUGUAUGAAGAAGGCCUUAGGGUUGUAAAGUACUUUCGUGGAGGAGGAAGGGUUUACGUAAACGUGGACAUUGACGUUACUCCAAGAAGAAGCCCCGGCUAACUCCGUGCCAGCAGCCGCGGUAAUACGGAGGGGGCGAGCGUUAAUCGGAAUGGCUGGGCGUA
This 539-nucleotide ribosomal RNA is filed under the name uncultured Enterobacteriaceae bacterium. Its description in RNAcentral is "bacterial SSU rRNA". It matches the Rfam family "Bacterial small subunit ribosomal RNA", at positions 9 to 562 of the family's 1533-position model. Lineage: Bacteria; Pseudomonadati; Pseudomonadota; Gammaproteobacteria; Enterobacterales; Enterobacteriaceae. The record is from RNAcentral.